AGAUUUGCAAAUUGAAAAAUUUACCUUAGCUGUAAAUUCCAAAAAAGGAUUAGAGGCAGGUCAAAGUAGAUGCAAUAUUCUUAGAUGAAUUAGGCAGGUACAACAGGUAAAAGAUUAGAAAUAACUUGAUGAACCAGGGUAGUGUUAUGGAGGAGGAGAGAGUAGCUGUGGAAGGAAAAGCCCACAGGAUUUGUUGAUGCAAUUGGAUUCAAGGUUAGGAGGAGGAGGGAAGCUGUACAUACAAUGGAAUGGAAUGGAGCUGAUUGAUGACAUCCAUUUGAAAGUGUUGAUGCGAAUCCAGACACUGAUUAGAAAACGGCAAGUUCCAAUAUCUGAUCCAAGAAACCUCAACAAGAGAAGCAAAAAAUAUUCCUUCUUCCUGGAAAGCUGUAGAAAGACAGCCACUGUCCUGGGGAAGGACAUGGUCCUGGUUGGGAAGACCUGGCCCGGUGCACCCCGAGGGUCCCAGUGUCCCUGCUGGUCAGGAGGAGCUGCACUUGUGGUCUCCAGAGUGUGACGGCUCAUCACCAAGGGCAUGGUGGCUGAAGAGAAGAAACAGACUAUUUUGGAGAACCUUCCUGAGAUU
This is a long non-coding RNA of Diceros bicornis minor, 586 nucleotides long. RefSeq lists it as uncharacterized. The record is from RefSeq and is a predicted model, not a curated record. The transcript has 3 exons. NCBI's taxonomy places the organism in Eukaryota, Metazoa, Chordata, Mammalia, Perissodactyla, Rhinocerotidae.